This 459-nucleotide ribosomal RNA is filed under the name Prevotella sp. oral taxon 299. Its description in RNAcentral is "bacterial SSU rRNA". It matches the Rfam family "Bacterial small subunit ribosomal RNA", at positions 29 to 493 of the family's 1533-position model. Lineage: Bacteria; Pseudomonadati; Bacteroidota; Bacteroidia; Bacteroidales; Prevotellaceae. The record is from RNAcentral.
GUGAACGCUAGCUACAGGCUUAACACAUGCAAGUCGAGGGGCAGCAUGUUGUUGCUUGCAACCAAUGAUGGCGACCGGCGCACGGGUGAGUAACGCGUAUCCAACCUACCCAAUACUCAGGCAUAACCCGUUGAAAGACGGCUAAUCCUGUGGAUGUAUUUUUCUCAUGAUUACAUUAAAGAAUUUCGGAUUGGAUGGGGAUGCGUUGAUUAGUUUGUUGUGAGGUAACGGCUCACCAAGACUUCGAUCAGUAGGGGUUCUGAGAGGAAGGUCCCACAUUGGAACUGAGACACGGUCCAAACUCCUACGGGAGGCAGCAGUGAGGAAUAUUGGUCAAUGGAUGGAAAUUGAACCAGCCAAGUAGCGUGCAGGUGACGGCCCUAUGGGUUGUAAACUGCUUUUAUGUGAGAAUAAAGUUAGGUAUGUAUACUUAUUUGGCAUGUACACAUGAAUAAGACC